AUUGAACGCUGGCGGCAGGCCUAACACAUGCAAGUCGAGCGGAUGAAGGGAGCUUGCUCCUGGAUUCAGCGGCGGACGGGUGAGUAAUGCCUAGGAAUCUGCCUGGUAGUGGGGGAUAACGUCCGGAAACGGGCGCUAAUACCGCAUACGUCCUGAGGUAGAAAGUGGGGGAUCUUCGGACCUCACGCUAUCAGAUGAGCCUAGGUCGCAUUAGCUAGUUGGUUGGGUAAAGGCCUACCAAGGCGACGAUCCGUAACUGGUCUGAGAGGAUGAUCAGUCACACUGGAACUGAGACACGGUCCAGACUCCUACGGGAGGCAGCAGUGGGGAAUAUUGGGCAAUGGGCGAAAGCCUGAUCCAGCCAUGCCGCGUGUGUGAAGAAGGUCUUCGGAUUGUAAAGCACUUUAAGUUGGGAGGAAGGGAAGUAAGUUAAUACCUUGCUGUUUUGACGUUACCAACAGAAUAAGCACCGGCUAACUUCGUG
This 484-nucleotide ribosomal RNA is filed under the name uncultured bacterium. RNAcentral describes it as "partial 16S ribosomal RNA". It matches the Rfam family "Bacterial small subunit ribosomal RNA", at positions 30 to 507 of the family's 1533-position model. The record is from RNAcentral.